Molecule: ribosomal RNA, 258 nt
Filed under: uncultured prokaryote
Description: partial 16S ribosomal RNA
Rfam family: Bacterial small subunit ribosomal RNA
Source: RNAcentral
UACGUAGGGUGCGAGCGUUGUCCGGAAUUGCUGGGCGUAAAGAGCUCGUAGGUGGUUUGUCACGUCGUCUGUGAAAUUCCGGGGCUUAACCUCGGGCGUGCAGGCGAUACGGGCAAUACUUGAGUGCUGUAGGGGAGACUGGAAUUCCUGGUGUAGCGGUGAAAUGCGCAGAUAUCAGGAGGAACACCAAUGGCGAAGGCAGGUCUCUGGGCAGUUACUGACGCUGAGGAGCGAAAGCAUGGGUAGCGAACAGGAUUA